Molecule: long non-coding RNA, 508 nt
Filed under: Trifolium pratense (red clover)
Lineage: Eukaryota; Viridiplantae; Streptophyta; Magnoliopsida; Fabales; Fabaceae
Description: long non-coding RNA (TPRA_LNC010857)
Source: RNAcentral
GUUUACGUUGGAAUUUGGUAAACAACCGCUAGUUUAAGUAUUUAAACUCGCGAGAUCAACUAGUAAAUCUCAGGACAAUUUUGUGUUUAUUCGCUUCAAGAAAACUGUUUGAAUGUUCGUUUNNNNNNNNNNNNNAUAUUUUAAAGCAUACAAGAGAAACUAAUUCGAAUCGCCUCGAAGUAGCAGUUUCUCAAGCAAGUAUCUGGAUUCAGACUUAGAAAAAAUUACUGGAAAACAAAUUGCAUUGCAUUGAAUGAAAACAAUUACAAAUAAAGAUGGUUCACAAAACAUACAUUUCUCCUUCGAAUUCCGUUCGUUCGAUCGCUGAGUACUUAGAAUUUUUAGAGAGAAUGUUUGUAUAAAUUUUGUGACCCCUGUUCUGAAUGAAAAACUGCUAUAAAUACUACUACAAAGUGGUAACUGUUCUUCGAUCAUCUGGACGCUCAUCCAUUUGCCACGUCGACCACGUUUUCCACUUUCAUCUUUCAUUCCUUCAGCGCGCGCCAAG